UACGGCGGGUGCAAGCGUUGUCCGGAAUCACUGGGCGUAAAGGGCGCGUAGGCGGCUCAUGAAGGCUGUGGUGAAAGUCCGGGGCUCAACCUCGGAUCGGCCGUGGCGACUCGUGGGCUGGAGCACUGUAGAGGCGGGUGGAAUUCCGGGUGUAGCGGUGGAAUGCGUAGAGAUCCGGAAGAACACCAGUGGCGAAGGCGGCCCGCUGGGCAGUGGCUGACGCUGAGGCGCGACAGCGCGGGGAGCAAACAGG
This 253-nucleotide ribosomal RNA is filed under the name uncultured bacterium. RNAcentral describes it as "partial 16S ribosomal RNA". It matches the Rfam family "Bacterial small subunit ribosomal RNA", at positions 524 to 776 of the family's 1533-position model. The record is from RNAcentral.